UCUUCCUCCCUCAGUGCAGUGAUUGUAGCUUCUUCUUCUUCAUCUCUGAGAAACUGAUGAAGUUUCUCAAACUGCUGUUUAAUCUGAUGCUCUGUGUGAUCAGCUUGAGACUGAAAUCAAACCACAUUCACUUCAAUCAUCUGAAUUGUCUUAUUCUGUAGACACAAAUAUCUACAUCCCACCAGCCAAACAGUUUUAAAUGGAUUUUUAUUAGGAUCAACAUCAAUAGGGAUAUGAUUUGGGAUUGAUAUAUACUGACAUUCUAAACACUAUUAGAUAUCAAUAAUAUGUGAUAUCAUUUGAAAGGACAUACUGAACUUUUAAGAAUCAGUCAAUCAAGUAUUUUUAUGACAAAACUUUAAAACAUGGCAAGCAUGUAUGAAUGAAAAUUUGUUCACACAGUAUUAAACAGAACUCAGAGAUUUGGUGGUGGAGCUUGGGACAUUCAAUGUUUCUGUGAAGACUAACAAUAAUGAGGUUCGAGAUUAAAAACUUGCUAAACGUUUCUAAAAUGAAAAAUAUUUUUAUGUUUAACAACAUAAACUUACAUUAGUUAAACACAAUUUCUCUUUCCUAAAGUAGACUAGCCAUCUGGCAACAGUGUUUCUCUGCGUUGGCCUGAGACGCCGGCAUAAACUAGUGGGACAACAAGCUAUAGGACAAGCAGUAUAAAGAAUAGAUGGAUGGACUUCUCAUUUUGCUCAUGUCUUCAUUCAGUUUCUCUUGUAAGGACUUCAGUGCUGUAUUGAGCUCCUCCUGCACCAGACACCAGAGAUUUAUGUAUUAUUGUGAAUGACUCACACAAGUUUUUUAACACAAGAUUAUUUGGAGGAUCAUCUCUUGAGGAUCUUCUCCUGCAGACAGGACACUCCUGGGUAUUCUUGGUUCUCCAGAACUGUUGAAGACACUCUUUACAGAAACUGUGAUUACAUGAUAGAAGAACGGGAUCCUUUAAGAUGUCAAAACACAUGGGACAAGAAAAAUCAUCUACAGAUAGUGAAUCCAUUUUCACCGUUUAAACUUCAGAAAUCUGACUUUACGUUCACUUUCUGAACGAGGUUGCAAAAAGAUCACAAAGAUCUGUUAUCUGUUCUGAAACAAACUUCUCAAAAAUCCUUCUUGAAAAAGUUUUUCUUUGUUCUCCACUGAGUCUUUUGUACUUUUGUCAAGACACUAAGAGAGUCAAUAAGACAGAAAUGAGAAAUAAUAAGACAAUUGCUUCCUGGUAAGUGUUCUAAGAGGGUGGAGUUUCUGCACCUGAAUCAUCUUGUCUCGUGUUUUUUAAUUGUUUGUCUGCCUUAUUUAAUGCUGGAAGGUGAUUUAAAAUGUUAAUGAUUAUCAACCAUUGGACAUCUGAUCUUAAAGGACUUUAGUAUAUGGAUACAUAUGACAUGUUUUUAUAAUUAUAUUUGAAAAUCUCUAUUUUUAUACCAGAAA
Molecule: long non-coding RNA, 1437 nt
Organism: Megalobrama amblycephala (Wuchang bream)
Lineage: Eukaryota; Metazoa; Chordata; Actinopteri; Cypriniformes; Xenocyprididae
Exons: 3
Source: RefSeq, a predicted model, not a curated record